CCCAGAGCGAGAGGAAGAUGAAGGUGGCUGUGCUCAGCGUGGCCCUGCUCUUCUCCAUCCUGCUGUGCCCCCCGGCACAGGCCAAGGCACUCCUGGAAGGAACCCAAGAUGAUCUCCGGGAGCCCUUUCGGGAUGAAGAGCUGCGGGCUCUUCUGCGGUAUAAACGCCUGGCUGCCUCUCUGGAUGCCUAGGUGAGCUGUGACUGCAGGGACAGGGGUCGAGACAAAGCCCCUCCGUGGCCCAGUGAGCUCCAGAGGUCAUGUUCUGGGGUUUUUCAUUUAGGAUUGGAAGCUGUGGGGACAUGGUGUCCCGAUCCCCUCUGGCGGUGUGAGGAGAUGAUCAUCCCUGGAGGAACCCUCUGAUCCCUGUGAGCCCUGGGCUAUUCCCCCUCAAUAAUCAAUAAACCCUUUCAGCAAAGUUACA
This 423-nucleotide long non-coding RNA is filed under the name Serinus canaria (Common canary). Its description in RNAcentral is "lncRNA (ENSSCAG00000017350.1)". The record is from RNAcentral. Lineage: Eukaryota; Metazoa; Chordata; Aves; Passeriformes; Fringillidae.